CCCUUAGAUGUUCUGGGCCGCACGCGCGCUACACUGACGAAUGCAACGAGCUUAUAACCUUGGCCGAAAGGUCUGGGUAAUCUCCAAAUUUCGUCGUGAUGGGGAUAGAUUAUUGCAAUUAUUAAUCUUCAACGAGGAAUGCCUAGUAAGCGCAAGUCAUCAGCUUGCGUUGAUUACGUCCCUGCCCUUUGUACACACCGCCCGUCGCUCCUACCGAUUGAAUGGUCCGGUGAAGCGUUCGGACUGCAGCACUGCUUGGUCUCCAGGCUUUGCAGCGGAAAGUUUAGUGAACCUUAUCACUUAGAGGAAGGAGAAGUCGUAACA
Molecule: ribosomal RNA, 324 nt
Filed under: uncultured eukaryote
Lineage: Eukaryota
Description: partial 18S ribosomal RNA
Rfam family: Eukaryotic small subunit ribosomal RNA
Source: RNAcentral